ACUCGAAGAACGCCCGAAAAAACUGCGAAUGAAGAGGGACAAAAAAACAGGAUGUUUUUUUGAGCGAAGCUUCCCCAGGGAUGGGGAAUCUGAGCGCCCCAGCGUAUAUGAGCAGUUUUUGAGGAUCAGCGUUCGAGCUGU
Marinitoga piezophila KA3 is the source of this 141-nucleotide regulatory RNA element. The record is from Rfam. Lineage: Bacteria; Thermotogati; Thermotogota; Thermotogae; Petrotogales; Petrotogaceae.